AACGCACAUUGCGCCCGCCAGUAUUCUGGCGGGCAUGCCUGUUCGAGCGUCAUUUCAACCAUCAAGCCCCAGGGCUUGCGAUGGGGCCGUGCGGCUGCCGCACGCCCCGAAAUUCAGUGGCGGGCUCGCCUUCACCCCGAGCGCAGUAACGCAUCUCGCUCCGGCCGUGUCGCGGGCUCCUGCCGUAAAACACCCCAAUUUCAAAGGUUGACCUCGGAUCAGGUAGGAAUACCCGCUGAACUUAA
RNAcentral lists this unclassified non-coding RNA (245 nucleotides) under Beverwykella sp. RNAcentral describes it as "partial contains 5.8S ribosomal RNA, internal transcribed spacer 2, and large subunit ribosomal RNA". The stretch from base 1 to 52 matches the Rfam family "5.8S ribosomal RNA", at positions 103 to 154 of the family's 154-position model. Lineage: Eukaryota; Fungi; Ascomycota; Dothideomycetes; Pleosporales; Melanommataceae. The record is from RNAcentral.